AUAAAAAAAAAAAUGUAGCUCAUCAGCCAGGCUGAGCUGGUGAGGCCAGAAGUGUUACCUGCGAGAAGAGAAAAAGGGAAAGGAGGCAGGUGACCAGGAGAAGGUCUUCCUCAGCUUACAUCACCAGCUCAACCGCAGAGACGCGCUCACGGUGACCCCCGGUGUGGCUAUGAGAGCCUGAGAGCCCAGGUUGGUGCAGUGAAGAGGGGGCCACAUUGCUCCCCUUAUCCCCGCCAAGACGCAGGCCUAGAGCUAUACCUCCGGCAGGUCCCCACCAGGAGCCCUGCUCUCCCUCUGUCUCAGCGAAGGUCCCCAGCCUUUGAACUAGGAGGAGAGGCAAUGCUGAGCUCUUCUAGGGACAGGGCACCGUGGGAAAGAUGAUGGCAUCUUCUGUUUCAAUCACCACGACCCUCUAUGGAGAAUAUUGCUUUCCUGUCCUGCAAAUGGGGAACUGAGCUUUGGAGAAGUCAAUUAACUUACCAAGGGUCACACAGCUCCUCGGUGGGAGAGGCUGAACUUAACCUCGAGUUGCCUGCAAUUAACCAGGUGCUACCUCUGCUCCCUAAGGAGACUUCUCCUCAACCCUGUGGCCCUCCACCACAUCAAGAGCGCUGUGGGCUUUGUCCCUCUGGUUUGCAGGAACCUUGUCUUGCCCACCUUGGCCAGGAUGGGCGUUGUGCUGAAAGGCAACCUUGGUAUGUGCUUGGAACCCAACUGGCAAGCUCUCCUGUAGCUCCCGUUGGCCAUUGUUCCUGAAGCUCCCAGGACUCCAGCGUCAGGCUCAUUGCAUUGUUCUACAGCUGAGUGAUUGUCAGUUGGCAUCUGACCAUUUCUCACCAACAGAUGUUGCUGGCACACACACAGACCUCCCGUUAGGUCUGUGCCACCCUUGUGCUUCUGGUUAUGCUGUCCUUCCACACGGAACGCAGAGAGCCCUGGCCAUAAGUGCCUUCCUCUAGGUGGGGGUCUCUGCCCACUCCUUGCCCUUGGUUUUCUCACCUGGUUUUCAGUGCUCUUCUUCCUCCCUCCUCAGUCAUGGUAACUCUACCACUCCUUGCGCCAGUCCUGAUUAGCUACUCUUCUGCCACCUGGGAGGGGUGUGUUCCCACUCUACUGGCCUCAGGUGUGGCAUCUCACUUGUUUUGGUUAAAGGAAUUUCAGUGAAAAAUUCGACGUUAUUGCUGGCAAGUCUGGGCCACCAUGGGGUCCUGCCAUUGUUCUGCCCUUUGAAUGGGCAGUAGAUUCAUCCUGGGUUCACAGUGAAGAAGACCAUGGGCUGCGGCAGCUCCUGAGACGGGGCAGCCAGGAUUACCAGCACAGGACAAGUUUCAUGCUGGAGUCAAUCACACAGAUUUGGGAGUUAUCUGUUACUGCAGUGAAUCUGACAAAAAUCCACAUGAGAACUGGAAACAAGGAAUCAAAACCGAGAAGAUGAUAUGUAACAAAGCCUCCAUAGAGGGCAUUAAAGGUCAUCUGUCCAUGGAAAUGCCCAUUGCAGCCUGCCCUUGCCCCCUCCAAGGACAUGCUGCUACGAAAGCUACCCUGGUCUCUUCAACCUCAUCAUCUGAACCUUCUCACCCUGUGUUGUGGGAACCAAUAAAGUUACUGCGCUGGCUCCUGACCAGCUCCCGGAUGCCCUUGUUCCUGUGAAUGCUCUCCAGCCCCCCAAACUGUGCCCAAACUCCUCCUCAGCUGCCCAAGGAGCCACUCUUCCUCUCCUUCUUCCUUACACAAACAUCUACUGGACACUCACUCUGAAUGGCACUCCGUUUAGGGGCUUGCUAAGAGGACAUUAUGGACAGAUGUCCCAGGUUCACAUCCAGGUUCUGGGGGUUGCAAAUUAUUUGGAGUCCCCUCUUUAAAAGAAGAAUGCAAAAUUACGAAUACCGAAUGAGGUACAGGCCUUGAAGGGCUCAUGCGAGCAAGAGGGCUGAAGCUGACUCUUCCCUCACGUCACGGCCAGUGCCCUUAUGGGACAGGGGGCCAGUGCCCUUAUGGGACAGGGGCCAGUGCCCUUACUGGGGAAAGGGAGGGCGAAUGUGAAGAGGACAUGGAAUUCUCAGGUGAUGGAGAGAGCUAAGUUGAGAAAAAAUGAGGCCACACAACAGGAAAUAGCUGGGUGGCUCCUUCAGAGUGG
This 2137-nucleotide long non-coding RNA is filed under the name Marmota monax (woodchuck). The record is from RNAcentral. Lineage: Eukaryota; Metazoa; Chordata; Mammalia; Rodentia; Sciuridae.